AUUGAACGCUGGCGGCAGGCCUAACACAUGCAAGUCGAACGGUAACAGGAAGCAGCUUGCUGCUUUGCUGACGAGUGGCGGACGGGUGAGUAAUGUCUGGGAAACUGCCCGAUGGAGGGGGAUAACUACUGGAAACGGUAGCUAAUACCGCAUAACGUCGCAAGACCAAAGAGGGGGACCUUAGGGCCUCUUGCCAUCGGAUGUGCCCAGAUGGGAUUAGCUAGUAGGUGGGGUAACGGCUCACCUAGGCGACGAUCCCUAGCUGGUCUUAGAGGAUGACCAGCCACACUGGAACUGAGACACGGUCCAGACUCCUACGGGAGGCAGCAGUGGGGAAUAUUGCACAAUGGGCGCAAGCCUGAUGCAGCCAUGCCGCGUGUAUGAAGAAGGCCUUCGGGUUGUAAAGUACUUUCAGCGGGGAGGAAGGGAGUAAAGUUAAUACCUUUGCUCAUUGACGUUACCCGCAGAAGAAGCACCGGCUAACUCCGUG
This 490-nucleotide ribosomal RNA is filed under the name uncultured bacterium. Its description in RNAcentral is "partial 16S ribosomal RNA". It matches the Rfam family "Bacterial small subunit ribosomal RNA", at positions 30 to 507 of the family's 1533-position model. The record is from RNAcentral.